GGAUGUGAAGGAGGUCUGGCUGCGGCAUGUCACCCCAUUGACUACCAGGGCUGAUGUGGCUGGCUAUGUGGCUGGCUAGGCGGGUCUUCCCUUCCUGUCUCUCCACUCCACAUGUGUCCCUCCCAAAGCUUCACACAGGGUUGAAGAGGACAACCUCCCCCAGUGGUUUCCAGUCAAGGGUACAGGAGUAGCCAUGUUCCCCUGCUAGGACCUCCAAGGAGCUCACAGGGUCUAUUUGUACAGAAACAAAGGGUAAAGAUGAAAGUGUCCAACACGAUGCGGUU
RNAcentral lists this small nuclear RNA (284 nucleotides) under Meriones unguiculatus (Mongolian gerbil). Its description in RNAcentral is "7SK RNA (ENSMUGG00000025125.1)". It matches the Rfam family "7SK RNA". Rfam says of the family: 7SK was discovered as an abundant small nuclear RNA in the mid-70s but a possible function has only recently been suggested. Two independent studies have found that 7SK RNA binds the CDK9/cyclin T complex (known as elongation factor P-TEFb). The record is from RNAcentral. Lineage: Eukaryota; Metazoa; Chordata; Mammalia; Rodentia; Muridae.